This 504-nucleotide ribosomal RNA is filed under the name uncultured bacterium. RNAcentral describes it as "bacterial SSU rRNA". It matches the Rfam family "Bacterial small subunit ribosomal RNA", at positions 15 to 507 of the family's 1533-position model. The record is from RNAcentral.
GAUCCUGGCUCAGGAUGAACGCUAGCUACAGGCUUAACACAUGCAAGUCGAGGGGAAACGACAUCGAAAGCUUGCUUUUGAUGGGCGUCGACCGGCGCACGGGUGAGUAACGCGUAUCCAACCUGCCCAUCACUUGGGGAUAACCUUGCGAAAGUAAGACUAAUACCCAAUGACGUCUCUAGAAGACAUCUGAAGGAGAUUAAAGAUUUAUCGGUGAUGGAUGGGGAUGCGUCUGAUUAGCUUGUUGCGGGGUAACGGCCCACCAAGGCGACGAUCAGUAGGGGUUCUGAGAGGAAGGUCCCCCACAUUGGAACUGAGACACGGUCCAAACUCCUACGGGAGGCAGCAGUGAGGAAUAUUGGUCAAUGGGCGAGAGCCUGAACCAGCCAAGUAGCGUGCAGGAUGACGGCCCUAUGGGUUGUAAACUGCUUUUAUAAGGGAAUAAAGUGGGAGUCGUGACUCUUUUUGCAUGUACCUUAUGAAUAAGGACCGGCUAAUUCCGUG